CCCCAGAUGUUGCUGAACUACAACUCCCAUGAUUCCCAUGCUAUCUGUUUAAUUGAAAGAAUCAUGGGAGUUGUAGUUCAGCAACAUCUGGGG
Molecule: microRNA precursor, 93 nt
Filed under: Pelobates cultripes (western spadefoot toad)
Lineage: Eukaryota; Metazoa; Chordata; Amphibia; Anura; Pelobatidae
Source: RNAcentral